This 253-nucleotide ribosomal RNA is filed under the name uncultured bacterium. Its description in RNAcentral is "partial 16S ribosomal RNA". It matches the Rfam family "Bacterial small subunit ribosomal RNA", at positions 524 to 776 of the family's 1533-position model. The record is from RNAcentral.
GACGAACCGUGCAAACGUUAUUCGGAAUCACUGGGCAUAAAGGGCGCGUAGGCGACUCCAAAAGUCAGGGGUGAAAUCCGGCAGCUUAACUGUCGCAGUGCCUUUGAUACUGUGGAGCUAGAGGGAGGUAGGGGUCUGUGGAACUUCCGGUGGAGCGGUGAAAUGCGUUGAUAUCGGAAGGAACGCCGGUGGCGAAAGCGACGGACUGGAUCUCUUCUGACGCUGAGGCGCGAAAGCCAGGGGAGCAAAUGGG